This 253-nucleotide ribosomal RNA is filed under the name uncultured bacterium. RNAcentral describes it as "partial 16S ribosomal RNA". It matches the Rfam family "Bacterial small subunit ribosomal RNA", at positions 524 to 776 of the family's 1533-position model. The record is from RNAcentral.
UACGUAGGUGGCAAGCGUUGUCCGGAUUUACUGGGCGUAAAGAGCGCGCAGGCGGUCGAUUUAGUCGCGUGUGAAAGCCCCCGGCUCAACUGGGGAGGGUCACGCGAUACUGAUCGACUCGAAGGCAGGAGAGGGUAGUGGAAUUCCAGGUGUAGCGGUGAAAUGCGUAGAUAUCUGGAGGAAUACCGGUGGCGAAGGCGGCAUCCUGGACCGGCAUUGACGCUGAGGAGCGAAAGCUAGGGGAGCAAACGGG